This is a small nuclear RNA of Otolemur garnettii (small-eared galago), 108 nucleotides long. NCBI's taxonomy places the organism in Eukaryota, Metazoa, Chordata, Mammalia, Primates, Galagidae. The record is from Ensembl.
GUGCUUGCUUCGGCAGCACAUGUACUGAAAUUGGAAUGAUACAGAGAAGAUUAGCAUGGCCCCCUGCUCAAGGAUGACACACAAAUUCGUGAAGCAUUCCAUAUUUUU